GAUCAUGGCUCAGGAUGAACGCUAGCUACAGGCUUAACACAUGCAAGUCGAGGGGUAGCACGGAGGAAGCUUGCUUCCUUGGGUGACGACCGGCGCACGGGUGAGUAACGCGUAUCCGACCUACCCAUAACACGGGCACAGCCGCUCGAAAGAGUGAUUGAUUCCCGAUAUGUUAUAUAAGUAGAUUAUAUAAUGAAAGAUUUAUCGGUUAUGGAUGGGGAUGCGUAAGAUUAGGUAGUAGGCGGGGUAACGGCCCACCUAGCCGACGAUCUUUAGGGGUUCUGAGAGGAAGGUCCCCCACACUGGUACUGAGACACGGACCAGACUCCUACGGGGGGCAGCAGUGAGGAAUAUUGGUCAAUGGGCGGAAGCCUGAACCAGCCAAGUAGCGUGAAGGAUUACAGCCCUACGGGUUUUAAACUUCUUUUAUGCGAGAGUAAUGUGCGCUACGUGUAGCGUAUUGCAAGUAUCGCAUGAAUAAGCAUCGGCUAACUCCGUG
Molecule: ribosomal RNA, 499 nt
Filed under: uncultured bacterium
Lineage: Bacteria
Description: bacterial SSU rRNA
Rfam family: Bacterial small subunit ribosomal RNA
Source: RNAcentral